Molecule: ribosomal RNA, 563 nt
Filed under: Limosilactobacillus fermentum
Lineage: Bacteria; Bacillati; Bacillota; Bacilli; Lactobacillales; Lactobacillaceae
Description: bacterial SSU rRNA
Rfam family: Bacterial small subunit ribosomal RNA
Source: RNAcentral
UAGAGUUUGAUCAUGGCUCAGGAUGAACGCCGGCGGUGUGCCUAAUACAUGCAAGUCGAACGCGUUGGCCCAAUUGAUUGAUGGUGCUUGCACCUGAUUGAUUUUGGUCGCCAACGAGUGGCGGACGGGUGAGUAACACGUAGGUAACCUGCCCAGAAGCGGGGGACAACAUUUGGAAACAGAUGCUAAUACCGCAUAACAGCGUUGUUCGCAUGAACAACGCUUAAAAGAUGGCUUCUCGCUAUCACUUCUGGAUGGACCUGCGGUGCAUUAGCUUGUUGGUGGGGUAACGGCCUACCAAGGCGAUGAUGCAUAGCCGAGUUGAGAGACUGAUCGGCCACAAUGGGACUGAGACACGGCCCAUACUCCUACGGGAGGCAGCAGUAGGGAAUCUUCCACAAUGGGCGCAAGCCUGAUGGAGCAACACCGCGUGAGUGAAGAAGGGUUUCGGCUCGUAAAGCUCUGUUGUUAAAGAAGAACACGUAUGAGAGUAACUGUUCAUACGUUGACGGUAUUUAACCAGAAAGUCACGGCUAACUACGUGCCAGCAGCCGCGGUAAUAA